Paramuricea clavata is the source of this 1488-nucleotide non-coding RNA. NCBI's taxonomy places the organism in Eukaryota, Metazoa, Cnidaria, Anthozoa, Malacalcyonacea, Plexauridae. The record is from the annotation of a GenBank genome assembly.
CUCUUUCAAUAUGCUCUCAAAAUUUUAAUUCCUUUAGUUUAGCCUAACCCCAUGCAUCUUAUACACACGGCGCACACUCUCACACUCCAUACAUUUAGCUAAUAAAUUACGUUAUAACAAAAAAGCAAAAUAAAAAGAUAAGUUACGUUAUCACUAGCUAUCCUAUAACCCACUUAGACUGAGUUUUGGAUUCUGGUUCGAAACAUAAAAUCUUAACUGAAAGGGCAUGGGCUUGAGUUUUGUUAACUAGUCCGAAGUAAAUACAAACCUUAAACUUACCUAAACCAAAGGCUCGAUUAAAUAAGCAUGAGAAUGCUUAGAAUUAUUUUUAAAACUUUUUAAUAAGAGUUUAAAAUCCAACCGAAAAUUAUAAUGUCGCUAAUUUAGUGAGGAUAUAGUACUGUUUAUCUAUAUAGUUCAAACAGACUUAACCGCAAUUCUCAUACUCAUUUAACCGGAACGCCUUGAUGAUCAUUUGUAUGGCACGUCGCAGCUGCUCUCAAACCCGCAAGUAACAAGAUACUUAUCAUAUUUGGUCAAAGAGGAUUCGUUAUAAAGUCAAAUUUCCACUGCAUGAAAUCAACAUGAAAACAAAGCAUAGUGUAUUCCCCUGGGAAUUAAAAAUACGGAAAAAAAUAAAAUUGCAGAAUACCUUCACGCUUUCGCGAAAUAAAAAAAAAUUAACAUAAAAAACAAGGUAUAGUAUAUUCCCAUGGGCAUGGGCGUACGGGAAGGGAAAAAUUAGGGGGGCGGAAAGAAAUUUGCCCGACUUUUUGGAUGUGCCCGAGUUGUCAAAAAAAUUUUCCGGAGAAACUUUCCAAAAUUGUUCUCGACGGGGGGAGGAGUGAUAACGAAAAAUUCCUAUUAGAUAGCAUAUUUCCCACAAAAUUGACAGAAUUUCCCUAAAAAUUGACAGAAUUUGUCCCAUUUAUUUUUAUAAUAAGCCAAUAUUGCCCGACUGUAAAGCGAAUAUUGCCCGACUGGCUUUGUUUGCCCAACAAACUGGGGGGGCUGCCGCCCCCCCCGCCCGGUACGCCCAUGCCCAUGGGAAUUAAACAUACGAAAAAUAAACCACCAAUUCUUAACUUUUUAACGCUUGAAAUAGGGUUGCUUGUUUUCAUCGUAUGUUGAUUUAUCGUUGUAAAUACAAGACUUAUCCCAUAGUUAACAGAAUAUAAACAUAGAUAGGGACCGCAUCUGACAGUGAUUUUAUUAUCAACUCCAACUGACGAUGAAAAAGAGGAAAUGCUUGGUGCUAGAUUCCAAGCCAUGUUUAUUUUACAUCAACUAUUAUGGGUUGAAGCGGAUUAAUAUUUUGUUUUCAGAAAAUACUACAAUCGGAAAUAUUCCAGGCAACACUUAGUGCUUUUAAGGUAUUGUUGCUUCGAUCUUUUUUAUACAAACAGUUAUCUACUAUUAAUUUUGGAAACUUUUUGUUGUUUUAACAAAAAAAUUGAAAUGAUAUGUUACCUUGUACAGACUCUAGCU